AGAGUUUGAUCCUGGCUCAGAUUGAACGUUGGCGGCAGGCCUAAAACAUGCAAGUCGAACGGUAACAGCGGAAGCUUGCUUCCGGCUGACGAGUGGCGGACGGGUGAGUAACACGUAGGAAUCUACCUAGUAGUGGGGGACAACCCGGGGAAACCCGGGCUAAUACCGCAUACGCUCUACGGAGGAAAGCAGGGGAUCUUCGGACCUUGCGCUAUUGGAGGAGCCUGCAUCGGAUUAGCUAGUUGGUGGGGUAAAGGCCUACCAAGGCGACGAUCCGUAGCUGGUCUGAGAGGACGAUCAGCCACACUGGAACUGAGACACGGUCCAGACUCCUACGGGAGGCAGCAGUUAGGAAUCUUGGGCAAUGGGCGCAAGCCUGACCCAGCCAUGCCGCGUGUGUGAAGAAGGCCUUCGGGUUGUAAGGCACUUUCAGCGGUGAAGAAAAGCUCAGGGCCAAUAUCCUUGAGUCUGACGUAACCGCAGAAGAAGCCCCCU
RNAcentral lists this ribosomal RNA (495 nucleotides) under uncultured soil bacterium. RNAcentral describes it as "bacterial SSU rRNA". It matches the Rfam family "Bacterial small subunit ribosomal RNA", at positions 8 to 496 of the family's 1533-position model. The record is from RNAcentral.